GUACGUGCCCCGAUGUCCAUGAUAGCGUUGGGAAACCGGCGGUAAUACUGGAUGAUAUCUUCGGAUCAAAGGUGUGAUUCCGNCUUGGGAUCGGACCGCGUACUAUNAGCUUGUUGGUGGGGUAAUGGCCUACCAAGGCUGUGAUGGUUACCGGGUGUGAGAGCAUGGCCCGGCUCACUGGGACUGAGACACUGCCCAGAGCACCUACGGGUGGCUGCAGUCGAGAAUCUUCGGCAAUGGACGAAAGUCUGACCGAGCGACGCCGCGUGCGGGAUGAAGGCCCUCGGGUUGUAAACCGCUGUCAGUUGGAAGGAAGGGCCUGUGCAGAGCAGGUCUUGACCGAUCUUCAGAGGAAGGACGGGCUAAGUUCGUGCCAGCAGCCGCGGUAAGACGAACCGUCCAAACGUUAUUCGGUAUCACUGGGCUUAAAGCGUGCGUAGGCGGCCUGGAAGGUGAGAUGUGAAAGCCCACGGCUCAACCGUGGAAUUGCGUUUCAGACCGCCAGGCUUGAGGAAGACAGGGGUGUAGGGAACUUAUGGUGGAGCGG
RNAcentral lists this ribosomal RNA (547 nucleotides) under uncultured organism. RNAcentral's name for it is "bacterial SSU rRNA". It matches the Rfam family "Bacterial small subunit ribosomal RNA", at positions 121 to 681 of the family's 1533-position model. The record is from RNAcentral.